Molecule: ribosomal RNA, 580 nt
Filed under: uncultured bacterium
Lineage: Bacteria
Description: partial 16S ribosomal RNA
Rfam family: Bacterial small subunit ribosomal RNA
Source: RNAcentral
UGGGGAAUUUUGGACGAUGGGCGAAAGCCUGAUCCAGCAAUGCCGCGUGUGUGAAGAAGGCCUUCGGGUUGUAAAGCACUUUUGUCCGGAAAGAAAUCCUCUGGGUUAAUACCUCGGGGGGAUGACGGUACCGGAAGAAUAAGCACCGGCUAACUACGUGCCAGCAGCCGCGGUAAUACGUAGGGUGCAAGCGUUAAUCGGAAUUACUGGGCGUAAAGCGUGCGCAGGCGGUUUUGUAAGACGGAUGUGAAAUCCCCGGGCUUAACCUGGGAACUGCAUUCGUGACUGCAAGGCUAGAGUAUGGCAGAGGGGGGUAGAAUUCCACGUGUAGCAGUGAAAUGCGUAGAGAUGUGGAGGAAUACCGAUGGCGAAGGCAGCCCCCUGGGCCAAUACUGACGCUCAUGCACGAAAGCGUGGGGAGCAAACAGGAUUAGAUACCCUGGUAGUCCACGCCCUAAAACGAUGUCAACUAGUUGUUGGGGAUUCAUUUCCUUAGUAACGUAGCUAACGCGUGAAGUUGACCGCCUGGGGAGUACGGUCGCAAGAUUAAAACUCAAAUGAAUUGACGGGGUCAUAGCUG